ACGGAAGGCAGCAGUGGGGAAUAUUGGGCAAUGGGCGAAAGCCUGACCCAGCAACGCCGCGUGAAGGAAGAAGGUUUUCGGAUUGUAAACUUCUUUUAUCAGGGACGAAGAAAGUGACGGUACCUGAUGAAUAAGCCACGGCUAACUACGUGCCAGCAGCCGCGGUAAUACGUAGGUGGCAAGCGUUAUCCGGAUUUACUGGGUGUAAAGGGCGCGUAGGCGGGGAUGCAAGUCAGGUGUGAAAUCUAUGGGCUUAACCCAUAAACUGCAUUUGAAACUGUAUCUCUUGAGUGUCGGAGAGGUAGACGGAAUUCCUAGUGUAGCGGUGAAAUGCGUAGAUAUUAGGAGGAACACCAGUGACGAAGGCGGUCUACUGGACGAUAACUGACGCCGAGGCGCGAAAGCGUGGGGAGCAAACAGGAUUAGAUACCCUGGUA
This 437-nucleotide ribosomal RNA is filed under the name uncultured Oscillospiraceae bacterium. Its description in RNAcentral is "partial 16S ribosomal RNA". It matches the Rfam family "Bacterial small subunit ribosomal RNA", at positions 341 to 792 of the family's 1533-position model. Lineage: Bacteria; Bacillati; Bacillota; Clostridia; Eubacteriales; Oscillospiraceae. The record is from RNAcentral.